GUGUCCUAUUUAUUCCUCCCAAGCCCUUUGCAUUUCAGUAUCAUCUUUUCUUCUCCGCUGAAGAGACGAUUACUAUGUUUCAACAACAUCCUCUUCGGCGAUAGUGAUGAGACUUAUGUGGACUAGAGUUUCUGAUCUUGGGUUUUAUCCCAUUAUUGAAGACAAACCCUUGGCUGUCUGAGUACACAAUUUAUUUUUAUUGUUUUUGUUCAUUGACAUUCAACAUAUUGAACAAGAACCCAUUCAUAAUUUCAUUUUUGGGCUUAUGAUGAAAAAUCACAUUAUCUUAGCGGAUUUCAGUGAGAUUUUUUUCAAUGAUCUGAAUGUUACACACAUUGAGGCCCCUUUUAUACUUUUUAUUGAUCUGAAUGUGUUAUUUUAAUCUGACAACUAUUCUAAUGGAGCAAAUUAUUUAGUCUUUGCAAAUUCCAUUCAUAGUCGUCAAAGAUUGAGCCUCCUUUUCUGAUCAAUGAAUGGUUGAGAUUUUCUCUCUUAGGAGAUGGGACUUUCCUGUUCUUCAGAUGGUGUGCGAUCUCAUAUCCUAUUGCCUUGAGUAGCAGUUUCUGCCAUUACCUUUUGGGAUUUGCCAUGAGAAAUACAUUUCAUUGAUUUUAUAUCAUUCUAUUUGAUUUUAUUAUCUUUUCAGGUUAAAUAACAAAUUCAUGACUGAAUGGCACAUUGUCCUUGAUGUUAUUUAUUCUGCAAAUUUUGAGGCUACUCCUUUGAAAUCUAUCAUUUCUCUUCCGUCUCAAUGGGAUCUCUUAUCAUGUUAUUAUAUAUAUUUUGAAUAUAAUUUUGAUAAAAUUAUUAUAAUAUUAUCAAUAUUUUAACCGCACAUCAUAAAUAUAUCUCAACAUUGAUAGGAAGUUUGAUUAUUCUUAAUUUUUCAUUUUAAAUGGUUGGAUUUGUUUGUCUGUGAGGAUAUCAGUUAAAAUAACACCAUCUUUCGGGACUGAAUGACCUUUUGGUCUUGAUGUUAUUAAUUCUGCAAUUCUGAGACUUUAUUUUAAUUCUCAAUUCAUAUUUGAUCA
Molecule: long non-coding RNA, 1031 nt
Organism: Impatiens glandulifera
Lineage: Eukaryota; Viridiplantae; Streptophyta; Magnoliopsida; Ericales; Balsaminaceae
Exons: 2
Source: RefSeq, a predicted model, not a curated record